Magnolia sinica is the source of this 106-nucleotide small nucleolar RNA. The record is from RefSeq and is a predicted model, not a curated record. Lineage: Eukaryota; Viridiplantae; Streptophyta; Magnoliopsida; Magnoliales; Magnoliaceae.
UAUCUAUGAUGUAGGAAAGCAUUUAAAUUUCCUUAAAUAUUUCUCAUCAUUAGAAGAAGGUUUCUUCCUCUUUCUGUGAAAAAUUCAUGAUUGCCCUUUUAAGGGU